GAUCACAGCUACUACCCAUUAUGUAAUUUCUUCCUAGUCUGAGUCCUGGGGCUUUGUUUGUUUAGUGUGGGUGCUGCAGCUUCUGAGGACUGAGUGCAACGGAAAAGCAUUUUCUAAGCCAUUGUCAUCCCAUUUGACCCCCUAAAGGACACCUCCUCCUCAACAGUUCUACGAAUGCAGAGAGUCUGCUCUACAGAAAUGAAGACAAGCACGCGGUCACCCUCCGUCUCCUCGUCUGCCCAGAGUGAGAGGGAGAGAGGGUUUUCAUGACCCCUAGUGGUGAAUAGGGGGAAGGACCGCUUUAAAGUUGAAGGUGAGUGUUGCUCAUUGUCUCA
This 335-nucleotide long non-coding RNA is filed under the name Capra hircus (goat). RNAcentral's name for it is "lncRNA (ENSCHIG00010014324.1)". The record is from RNAcentral. Lineage: Eukaryota; Metazoa; Chordata; Mammalia; Artiodactyla; Bovidae.